Molecule: RNA transcript, 3309 nt
Organism: Arachis stenosperma
Lineage: Eukaryota; Viridiplantae; Streptophyta; Magnoliopsida; Fabales; Fabaceae
Gene name: mitogen-activated protein kinase kinase kinase 3-like
Exons: 12
Source: RefSeq, a predicted model, not a curated record
UGUACCCCCCUUUUUCCCCUUUCUCUCUCUCUCUGCUUCGUCGUUUCUUCCUCCACUUCCUUCUACAACGACAAAACACAAAACCUACCCCUUAACUCUCCUCUUUUCCUUCUUCUUUGAAGAGUCCUUCUCACUUUCUCCCACCAAACAAAUUAAACGCUCCCUCUUUUCUUCUUCUUCUUCUCUAUUUUUUUCCCAAUUUAGAAUGCCCACUUGGUGGAGUAAAAAGUCCAGCAAGUCCAAGCAGCAGCAAGAACUGCAGCAGCCACAUCAGCAUGGAGGACGAGGAGUUCGUCAAUUCACCUUCACCAGAUCAAACAACAACGUUUCUUCUUCUCUUUCACCUCCCAGUAAGGCCAAAUCCGACAAGCCCAAUCACAGCUUCGACGAAACCCUCUCCCGCAACUCACCAAGGGUCAGCAGAGACUUCUCUUCUACCCCCGCCGUAGCUUCCUCCGCCGCCGCCGCCGCCGCCGGAGGCUCAUCCUCCGGAUUCUCAUGCUUGGAUUCCGACGGCGACAAGAGAGGCCACCCCUUGCCUCGCCCCUCUGUCUCCUCCACCCAAAGCUUCGGCAACGACCAAGGCCUUGGAUCUGCCUCCGUCUCUGGUUCCAGCGUUAGUUCCACGGGCUCUGAUGAUCAACAAUCCACCCUUCGAUACACUCGUAUAGAUGCAACCAGAGGACAAAGUGACAUAAAGUUCAAUGCAAGGUCAAAAAGCCCGGGUCCUGGUUCAAGAGGGCCCACCAGCCCUACAUCACCGCUUCAUCCGAGGUUGCAUGUUUUGAGUCUUGACUCCCCUACAUGCAGGCAAGAAGAUGGAAAGAGUGAGUGUCAUCCGUUGCCUCUUCCGCCGGGUUCUCCGACUAGUCCUUCUUCUCUUUCCAAUUCCAACACAAAACCAAAUGGACUUCCAGAAAACACCACAUGUAAUCCAUCCAAGUGGAAGAAAGGAAAGCUGCUAGGACGGGGUACAUUUGGGCAUGUAUAUGCUGGAUUCAAUAGUGAAAAUGGACAAAUGUGUGCAAUAAAAGAAGUCAGGGUUGUUUGUGAUGAUCAAACAUCAAAAGAGUGCUACAAACAACUUAAUCAGGAGAUACUCUUGCUUAGUCAGCUUUCACAUCCGAAUAUUGUUCAAUACUAUGGGAGUGACUUGGGAGAAGAAACACUUUCAGUUUAUUUAGAAUAUGUUUCCGGUGGUUCGAUUCAUAAAUUACUUCAGGAAUAUGGGGCCUUUAAGGAGCCUGUUAUUCAAAAUUAUACUAGGCAGAUUGUCUCUGGACUUGCCUAUCUUCAUGGUAGAAAUACAGUGCACAGGGAUAUCAAGGGGGCUAACAUACUAGUUGAUCCAAAUGGUGAAAUCAAGCUGGCAGACUUUGGAAUGGCUAAACAUAUAAAUGCUUCUUCCUCAAUGCUUUCUUUCAAAGGAAGUCCAUACUGGAUGGCCCCUGAGGUUGUAAUGAAUACAAAUGGCUAUAGUCUUCCUGUUGAUAUAUGGAGCUUGGGAUGCACAAUUCUUGAAAUGGCGACAUCGAAGCCUCCUUGGAGUCAAUAUGAAGGGGUAGCAGCAAUAUUCAAAAUUGGUAACAGCAAAGAUAUGCCUGAACUUCCUGAGCAUCUGUCGAAUGAGGCAAAGAACUUCAUCCAGUUAUGCUUACAAAGAGAUCCAUUGGCUCGCCCAACAGCUCAAAUGCUGCUAGAUCACCCAUUUAUUCGAGAUCAGUCGGCAACAAGAGCUGCAAAUGUCAGCAUAACCAGGAGUGCUUUCCCCUAUAUGCUUGAUGGGAGCCGGACACCGCCACCUGAGAUUUUUUCAAAUAAAAUAAAUGCAACUUCAUUUGAUGGAGACUAUGCAACAAGGGCAGCCCCUCCAGCCUCGCGGGCUGUAAGGAACCAAAGAGAUAACUCAAGAAUGAUCACAUCAUUACCCGUAUCUCCUUGUUCAAGUCCAUUGCGGCAGUAUGGAUCAGCACACAAGAGCUGUUUCCUUUCACCUCCUCAUCCAACUUGCACAUUGAUGGGACAAAAUACCCUCCCGUCAUAUCCGUUGAGAUCGAAUGCCGCCUUCACUCUUGAUCCUUGGCACGAAACAUCUCCAUACAGAUCCCACCACACACCUGGUGGAUCCCCAAGAUCGAGACUCAUUUGAGUUGCCACCAUUGUAAAUUCCGCUAAAAUCUUCCAGUGUUUUCCCCAGCAUGCAUUGUGACCUCUGGUUGAACUUCAAUCUCUACAAAAGCAAACUUUUUCCAUAAAAAUAUUCGGGUCCAUUUUCACUACUGAUGAGGUGAAGGAUAUAAGAAGGAGAACUCAAUGCAAGUUCCGAAGGACAACGCGUUCCCUAACGAUUGGAAAUUGACCAAGCGGACCUCAAACACCUAAGAAAAUGGUUAUGGCAGCCCCUGCGACCGUUUGGGAGAUGGUGGAGUGCUAACCUGUCAAUUUCUCAGUCACGUGGAUUUUUUUCCUACCAAAUUGGGACAAAUUGACCCCUUCCUAACGUACAACACGUCAUCCUUGUCUCAACCUCCUUUAAAUUAGGGUUUGGGUCUUCGUUGUAGCCAUAGUUGGAGAACGUGUAUUCUGCAAGUCAUGGCUGAUGAAGAUGAGGGUUCUUACUCAAUGACGCAGAAACGAAAUGGAAGCCCAAGCGCGCAGCGAGGGUUUGAAUGCGAUGUUGGCUUGAUUGAGAGCUUCAGGAGAGGGGCGAAUAGGAGGAAGAAAGAAUUUACAGCACCUACCUGUAACUGCGAAAUAUAUGCCAUCUUAUUAGAGUUAAGUACCAUGGACAACCCAAACAAACUUUUUCGAAUGCUCCUAUUUUAAGGUAAUUUCGGUUUGAUUUUGGACCUAUUCUGCUAAUGGUUAUUUAUGUCAAUUUCUUUCUUUUCACUCUCAGCAAGUAAAUGUAUUUUUACAUACCAAAGCUCCUCUUUGCAAAUUCUUUGCUUGGUUGGACAAAUAUGUGACAUCUUUUCAUGGUAAAGAUAUAACGAGUUCUAAUGAAUUGGUGGAUCAAAUGAAGAGAUUGGAAGAGAAGUUGUGAUCUCAGGAGAUGUUGAUGGAAAAGGACAUAGUAGGGAUAAAAUCUCAUGGUAGCACUAAAUGCAGGACUAUUUCCACAUUGAUGUUUGGAAUUGUAUUGACAUUGUCAUUUUUGGCUUUAUUUAGUGCAUUGUAUGCUUGAAUAAUUGUACUUAUGGUGUAAGAAAUAGGUUAGGAUAUCAAAUUAGAGUUGUGUGAUGGACCUGUUUUGUGGAGAAAUGUGAGUUUAUGUGAAAUAUGCAUUUUGCAAAUUGAAAAUAAAAA